Molecule: ribosomal RNA, 405 nt
Filed under: uncultured bacterium
Lineage: Bacteria
Description: partial 16S ribosomal RNA
Rfam family: Bacterial small subunit ribosomal RNA
Source: RNAcentral
GACGAACGCUGGCGGCGUGCUUAACACAUGCAAGUCGAGCGGAGCGGCGAACGGGUGAGUAACGCGUGAGUCACUGCCCCCCUCUCUGGGAUAACAGUUGGAAACGGCUGCUAAUACCGGAUAGUGGGGGAUGACUCGCGUCCUAUCAGCUUGUGGGGGGGGUAGUGGCCCACCAAGGCGACAACGGGUAGACGGCCUGAGAGGGCGACCGGCCACAGUGGGAUGAUGUACGGCCGAAACUCGUACGGGAGGCAGCAGUGGGGAAUAUUGCACAAUGGGGGAAACGCUGAUGCAGCAACGCCGCGUGCGGGAGGACGGCCUUCGGGUUGUAAACCGCUUUCAGCCAUGACGCGGUAGUGGCAGAAGAAGCACCGGCUAACUACGUGCCAGCAGCCGCGGUAAUUC